UAGGGAAUCUUCCACAAUGGACGCAAGUCUGAUGGAGCAACGCCGCGUGAGUGAAGAAGGUUUUCGGACCGUAAAGCUCUGUUGUUGGUGAAGAAGGAUAGAGGUAGUAACUGGCCUUUAUUUGACGGUAAUCAACCAGAAAGUCACGGCUAACUACGUGCCAGCAGCCGCGGUAAUACGUAGGUGGCAAGCGUUGUCCGGAUUUAUUGGGCGUAAAGCGAGCGCAGGCGGAAGAAUAAGUCUGAUGUGAAAGCCCUCGGCUUAACCGAGGAAUUGCAUCGGAAACUGUUUU
This 292-nucleotide ribosomal RNA is filed under the name uncultured bacterium. RNAcentral describes it as "partial 16S ribosomal RNA". It matches the Rfam family "Bacterial small subunit ribosomal RNA", at positions 355 to 639 of the family's 1533-position model. The record is from RNAcentral.